This 168-nucleotide transfer RNA is filed under the name Polydrusus inustus. Its description in RNAcentral is "tRNA-Leu". The record is from RNAcentral. Lineage: Eukaryota; Metazoa; Arthropoda; Insecta; Coleoptera; Curculionidae.
UGUGAGCCAGGUUGGUUUCUAUCUCUAUUAAGAUAAAAUAUUUUAGUACGAAAGGACCAAAUAUUGUAUUAUAAAUUUUUUAUUAAGAAUUUAGUUAAUAGGAAAUAGUUAUUUUGGCAGAAUAGUGCAAUAGAUUUAGAAUCUUUUUAUGUAAUAAAAAUUACAAAU